AUCUCUUCCUGGAGAUCCCUCCUUGGUGAAGCUUUCCCCUGCAAACCUGGAAUCUUCUGAUACCGGCUGUGGAGGCUCAGAUCCUUUCUACUGCAAAGCAGGGAGCUGAUAAUCCUCUGCAGGGUCAUCCAAGCUGCUGAAGUGCCAGGCUUUGGCUGCUCCCUCGGUUCCCAUGAGUGCAGGUUGAAGACUUGAAAAUGAAGUCUGACAUCUUGAAGACCAAGAUCAUCUCUGGAAGUGUAGCCAAAAGAUGCUAUAGUUGCAAGUUCACUGACUUGUGUAACAAUACAUUUUCUUGUAUUUGAGUAACAAUGCUGCAAUUAGCUUUCUUCAUAGUCAGUUGAAUAAUUUCUUUUUAGUAUUAAGCAAACCAAACUUUCAAGGAUGCUGUUCUGUUCUCUCCUGAAUGAGAAGUUGAGUGUGCCAGCAGAAUUUCAGUUAAUUGGCAGCAUUUAGCUCCUGAGCUACUGCAGGUCAUCUUACUGGCCAGACCUUGUGUUGCAUUUGGAGCCAAUGGCAGGUGGUAGCCUCAUCCUCCAGACCAGGGGCUCUUGGUGGUGCCAUCAGCACGCCCUCAGCAGGCACUACAUUUCCUUCCAAAGAAGACCAGCUGGGACAAGUGUUCCUGUGCAUACUUUUCAGCUUGCCUGCAGAGCAAAGACCCAUGGGCUGUGUUGUGUUUUGAGUCCUACUGCACAUGUUUGAGGAGGUACCCAAGUGGUAGAGCCUACUGUAUCUUCAUGCUAUACUUUGUCUUCAAGGCUUAUGUCUUUGUUCUGUCUUUCAACCAGAACAUGCAAACCAUGUCUUAUGGUUUUGGGUGUAACGUUGAGAAGCACAAGAGGAGAUACCGAUGGCAAACUGUUUGGCUAGUUUGGACAUUAAAACAUUUUUUUUUUCUGCAUAUGUGGUACAAUUUUUCUUUCCUUGAGCUCUGGCCUUGGCUGAGCAAGUGGAGUAGUCUUUGGAAAGUGGAUUUAGAAACCCCACUGGUAAAUUGUAAUUGUAAAUUCUUUGCCAGUGUGGUCUCUUUUUGCUAUACAAAGCUGAGAGGGGAGCUGGUAUUGCGAUCUAGAUGCAUCAGCACUCUCUGCUGCUUGCACUGAAGAAAACUUCCUGCAGAUGACUGUAGCAUGAGUGAUCUGUGGGGCAGCCAGCUGGGGGCAUAUGUCUUUGUCUGUCAUCUUUACCCACCAACUAUUACUAUUCUAAAAAUCCAUGAGCUGUUCCUCUGUGGGUUCAGAAGGGAUCAGUUUGUGGUUAUGUUUACUUCCGGGUAAGUGCAGGUGAAACUCUAGGUACAGCAUUUAGUUUAGCCUGCUUGAAAUAUCAGCCUUAAGGACCAUGGCAGAGGUUGAAAAUACAUGGAGGUAUAUAGUUACUUGAUUUAAAGACUCUUAAAAAGAAGUGGGGGUGGGGGGAACCCCACCCUUGUCUUUGUUUAUUUUCUGGCAGUUCUUUCAGUCUGAGUUGGACCAGUGCUGCUUCGUUGAUCCAUAUGAAGCUUGCUGAGCCGUAUAAAGACCCUGCUGUCAUAUUCCUGUCAGAUACUCUGUCAUGUGUUUCUGCCCAACUAGUAAAAUGUCAUGCACAACAGAGCCUUUCCUACAUGGAAUAGCCUUGGGCAAAUGCACUCUACUAGUGCCUAACAGCCCAUGGGAUCUAAUCUCUGCUCCCUUACUGACUGUUCGUAACCUUUCUGUGCACUUCAAGACUCUUCAGAUUAAUCCUUUCUCAUACAAUCAUAGCAAAUAAGAACUUGAAGUGAGCACCAGCCAGGGCUGGGCCUGGGGACCCAGGUGUCUGCUAUGAUAAACCUACAUUUCACUCACUUUUCCACAUUGUUUUGAGGAAGCAAUGUGUCUGUGAUGACUGAACCACAGGGAAAGGUUUAAUGUGCUGUUGCUUUCU
Molecule: long non-coding RNA, 1911 nt
Organism: Gallus gallus (chicken)
Lineage: Eukaryota; Metazoa; Chordata; Aves; Galliformes; Phasianidae
Source: Ensembl